RNAcentral lists this ribosomal RNA (1069 nucleotides) under Annulohypoxylon sp. PP139. RNAcentral describes it as "eukaryotic LSU rRNA". The stretch from base 733 to 886 matches the Rfam family "5.8S ribosomal RNA". Lineage: Eukaryota; Fungi; Ascomycota; Sordariomycetes; Xylariales; Hypoxylaceae. The record is from RNAcentral.
GGGACCCAGCGGAGGGAUCAUUACUGGUUAUUACAACUCCACCCUUUGUGAACCUUACCGUCGUUUCUCGGCGUACUACCCCGUUGGCUACCCCGUGAGGUUUGCCGCUGUCAGGAUCUACCCUGCAGAGGUUACCCUGUACCGGGGGAUGAUGCCAUGGCGCUGGCUACCCUGGAGAAGUAAUUCUUCGGGGAAUGAUGCCACCGGUAGCGUCGAAAGGACCCAUCGAAUACUUGUUUCUCUUCCAGUUCCAAUGAGUUAGAAUAUACCUGAUCGAACUUUCUGGGGGCUUUUUCUGGUGGCGGCGCUCGAAAACUUCUACAUAGAACUGCAAGCUCGAACGUAUAUAGGUCGAUAGUGUGGUGAUAUGUGUUUUUUUGUAGGCGUGACUCGUCCGCUCGAAAUGUGUUUUUGCUUCAAUUACUUUCUCUCAAAAGGGGUGGUUGGGGCGGCUGCUCGAAUAAAAAUCUCGAAUUUCUUUUUGUCUGUACCAAUAAGCGUUUGUGUUUUUACUGCUCGAAAUUACCUUGCUCAAACAUCUCUCAAAACAUCGUUCCAAAUAAUUUCCCCUGCGGAUAAAAGGACCGUAGGAGUGAUCGGUGGAUGUGCCGGUAGGUGGCUAGAUGGGCUAGCUGAACACAAUACUUUCCUAAAAGUUUUGUUUCUUGUUUUUUCUUACCCUGGAGAACUGAAAUGCUUCUUAUAUGAUUUUACUAUUAAACAAAAGUUUAAAACUUUCAACAACGGAUCUCUUGGUUCUGGCAUCGAUGAAGAACGCAGCGAAAUGCGAUAAGUAAUGUGAAUUGCAGAAUUCAGUGAAUCAUCGAAUCUUUGAACGCACAUUGCGCCCAUUAGUAUUCUAGUGGGCAUGCUUAUCCGAGCGUCAUUUCAACCCUUAAGCCCCUGUUGCUUAGCGUUUGGGAGUCUGCGUCCUAGGGCGCAGUUCCUUAAAGUUAGUGGCGGAGUUAUAGCACACUCUUAAGCGUAGUAGUUUAUGCCUCGCUUCUGGAGUAGCUGUACUGCCGGCCGUAAAACCCCCUAUACUUCUAGUGGUUGAACCCGAUAGGAG